UACGAAGGGUGCAAACGUUGCUCGGAAUCAUUGGGCGUAAAGCGCACGUAGGCGGCUUGCCAAGUCGGACGUGAAAUCCCUCAGCUCAACUGAGGACGUGCAUCCGAAACUGGCGAGCUUGAGUACUGAAGAGGAUCGCGGAAUUCCAGGUGUAGCGGUGAAAUGCGUAGAUAUCUGGAGGAACACCGGUGGCGAAGGCGGCAUCCUGGACCGGUAUUGACGCUGAGGCGCGAAAGCCAGGGGAGCAAACGGG
RNAcentral lists this ribosomal RNA (253 nucleotides) under uncultured bacterium. RNAcentral's name for it is "partial 16S ribosomal RNA". It matches the Rfam family "Bacterial small subunit ribosomal RNA", at positions 524 to 776 of the family's 1533-position model. The record is from RNAcentral.